CCCCGGGCUCAACCUGGGAACUGCGUUNUGAACUGGCAGGCUAGAGUGUGUCAGAGGGGGGUAGAAUUCCACGUGUAGCAGUGAAAUGCGUAGAGAUGUGGAGGAAUACCGAUGGCGAAGGCAGCCCCCUGGGAUAACACUGACGUUCAUGCUNGAAAGCGUGGGUAGCAAACAGGAUUAGAUACCCUGGUAGUCCACGCCCUAAACGAUGUCAAUUAGCUGUUGGGCAACUUGAUUGCUUAGUAGCGUAGCUAACGCGUGAAAUUGACCGCCUGGGGAGUACGGUCGCAAGAUUAAAACUCAAAGGAAUUGACGGGGACCCGCACAAGCGGUGGAUGAUGUGGAUUAAUUCGAUGCAACGCGAAGAACCUUACCUGGUCUUGACAUGUACGGAAUCUUCCAGAGACGGGAGAGUGCCUUCGGGAACCGUAACACAGGUGCUGCAUGGCUGUCGUCAGCUCGUGUCGUGAGAUGUUGGGUUAAGUCCCGCAACGAGCGCAACCCUUGUCAUUAGUUGCCAUCAUUCAGUUGGGCACUCUAAUGAGACUGCCGGUGACAAACCGGAGGAAGGUGGGGAUGACGUCAAGUCCUCAUGGCCCUUAUGACCAGGGCUUCACACGUCAUACAAUGGUCGGUACAGAGGGUAGCCAAGCCGCGAGGUGGAGCCAAUCCCAGAAAACCGAUCGUAGUCCGGAUUGCACUCUGCAACUCGAGUGCAUGAAGUCGGAAUCGCUAGUAAUCGCAGGUCAGCAUACUGCGGUGAAUACGUUCCCGGGUCUUGUACACACCGCCCGUCACACCAUGGAAGUGGGGGAUACCAGAAGUAGGUAGGCUAACCGCAAGGAGGCCGCUU
This 853-nucleotide ribosomal RNA is filed under the name uncultured bacterium. RNAcentral's name for it is "bacterial SSU rRNA". It matches the Rfam family "Bacterial small subunit ribosomal RNA", at positions 601 to 1455 of the family's 1533-position model. The record is from RNAcentral.